Molecule: long non-coding RNA, 306 nt
Filed under: Setaria viridis
Lineage: Eukaryota; Viridiplantae; Streptophyta; Magnoliopsida; Poales; Poaceae
Description: long non-coding RNA (SVIR_LNC002793)
Source: RNAcentral
UUUCUGCAAGCUAGGAUAUCACUUCACUUCAAUUGCAUGUCAAAGGAAUAGUGGUACAUGUUAACACGGCUUAAUCGAUCAUCUGGGAUUAGAGAACAAAUAGGGUUCAACAUCUACCGACAUACAACACAUCUUCAAAGGUAUGGUCAUGCCCUCUAUAGCCCCCCACAUUGUCAAAUAUCGACAGCAUUCUUGGACGCAUCUACACCACGAGAGGCACACGGACGCCCGGCCGGCCACUUGUUUCUUCGACUGUCCUACACCCUAGUACAAUACAUGCUGACCACCCCUUCCAAGAGACAAGAC